Molecule: microRNA precursor, 90 nt
Organism: Mus spicilegus (steppe mouse)
Lineage: Eukaryota; Metazoa; Chordata; Mammalia; Rodentia; Muridae
Source: Ensembl
GGUUGGGUAGGGGCCCUCGUCUUACCCAGCAGUGUUUGGGUGCUGGUUGGGAGUCUCUAAUACUGCCGGGUAAUGAUGGAGGCCCCUGUC